This 359-nucleotide ribosomal RNA is filed under the name uncultured bacterium. Its description in RNAcentral is "bacterial SSU rRNA". It matches the Rfam family "Bacterial small subunit ribosomal RNA", at positions 326 to 678 of the family's 1533-position model. The record is from RNAcentral.
ACGGCCCAUACUCCUACGGGAGGCAGCAGUAGGGAGUUUUCGGCAAUGGGGGAAACCUUGACCGAGCAACGCCGCGUGAGUGAUGAAGGUCUUCGGAUCGUAAAGCUCUGUUACGAGGGACGAAGGACCGGCUCAGGAAAUGGGGCCGGUUUGACGGUACCUCGCCAGAAAGUGACGGCUAACUACGUGCCAGCAGCCGCGGUAAUACGUAGGUCACGAGCGUUAUCCGGAAUUAUUGGGCGUAAAGAGUGAGCAGGCGGCAUGGUAAGUCCGUAGUCAAAGCGUGGGGCUCAACCCCAUAUAGCUUCGGAUACUGCCAGGCUAGAGUACGUCAGAGGUCAACAGAACUCCAUGUGUAG